GACAGAGGUGCCGAGCGUUAGGCGGAAUCACUGGGCUUAAAGCGUGUGUAGGCGGACUUCUAAGUACCUUGUGAAAUCCCACGGCUCAACCGUGGAACUGCUUGGUAUACUGGUUGUCUUGAGCCACUUAGGGGCAGUCGGAACAGACGGUGGAGCGGUGAAAUGCGUAGAUAUCAUUUGGAACGCCAAUGGUGAAAACAGGUAGCUGGGAGUGUGCUGACGCUGAGACACGAAAGCCAGGGGAGCAAACGGG
This 253-nucleotide ribosomal RNA is filed under the name uncultured bacterium. RNAcentral describes it as "partial 16S ribosomal RNA". It matches the Rfam family "Bacterial small subunit ribosomal RNA", at positions 524 to 776 of the family's 1533-position model. The record is from RNAcentral.